GUGCCGCGGCCUGCUGCACGUUGCGGGCGCUCUCCUGCGUCGCCGCGCCCUGUUCUUCCACCGCUGCGGCAAUGGUCGAGGAGAUUUCCGAGAUCAGGGUGAUGGUCUUGCCGAUCUCCUUGAUGGUUGCGACCGAUUCCUGGGUCGCGGUCUGCAUGCCCGCGACCUGGGCGCUGAUCUCGUCGGUGGCCUUGGCGGUCUGCGCGGCGAGGGCCUUCACUUC
RNAcentral lists this unclassified non-coding RNA (223 nucleotides) under Hevea brasiliensis (rubber tree). Lineage: Eukaryota; Viridiplantae; Streptophyta; Magnoliopsida; Malpighiales; Euphorbiaceae. The record is from RNAcentral.